Molecule: ribosomal RNA, 435 nt
Filed under: uncultured bacterium
Lineage: Bacteria
Description: partial 16S ribosomal RNA
Rfam family: Bacterial small subunit ribosomal RNA
Source: RNAcentral
AGCGAACGCUGGCGGCAGGCUUAACACAUGCAAGUCGAGCGGGCACUUUCGGGUGUCAGCGGCGGACGGGUGGGUAACGCGGGGGAACGUGCCCUCUGGUUCGGAAUCACUCAGGGAAACUUGAGCUAAUACCGGAUACGCCCUUUUGGGGAAAGGCUUUCUGCCGGAGGAUCGGCCCGCGUGUGAUUAGCUUGUUGGUGAGGUAACGGCUCACCAAGGCGACGAUCAGUAGCUGGUCUGAGAGGAUGAUCAGCCACACUGGGACUGAGACGCGGCCCAGACUCCUACGGGAGGGAGCAGUGGGGAAUAUUGGACAAUGGGCGCAAGCCUGAUCCAGCCAUGCCGCGUGAGUGAUGAAGGCCUUAGGGUUGUAAAGCUCUUUUAUCCGGGACGAUAAUGACGGUACCGGAGGAAUAAGCCCCGGCUAACUUCGUG